Molecule: long non-coding RNA, 314 nt
Filed under: Mytilus galloprovincialis (Mediterranean mussel)
Lineage: Eukaryota; Metazoa; Mollusca; Bivalvia; Mytilida; Mytilidae
Source: RNAcentral
CCAGGGGUGUGGAAAUAUUUGCUGUGGGCACUUGUCCCUGGGCAAGUAAAACUGUAAAGUUAACUUGUCCGGAAAAAAAGUUACUUGCCCUGAUGGUCCCAAUAAAUAUUGAAGUAUUUCAUUGUAGUUAAUAUAUGAUUCUUAGUACUGUUACAACUGCAUCACAAACAAGUGAAAUCCAUUUGUUUAUUAUGUGUAAAAAUUUAGUAAAGUAGGUCAACAUCUAUGGGACAAAAACCUUACAGCAAACCAACCAAUGAAAUAACAUGUAAAGGUAAUUUUUGAAGCAGUUUUGGAAUAAAAAUUGUAGCCAG